Molecule: ribosomal RNA, 235 nt
Filed under: uncultured Candidatus Saccharibacteria bacterium
Lineage: Bacteria; Candidatus Saccharimonadota
Description: partial 16S ribosomal RNA
Rfam family: Bacterial small subunit ribosomal RNA
Source: RNAcentral
AAGUAGAUAGUGAAAGCGUUCGGCUCAACCGUACAGGCUAUUACCUAAACUGGCAAACUCGAGAAUGGUAGAGGUAACUGGAAUUUCUUGUGUAGGAGUGAAAUCCGUAGAUAUAAGAAGGAACACCAAUGGCGUAGGCAGGUUACUGGACCAUUUCUGACACUGAGGCACGAAAGCGUGGGGAGCGAACGGGAUUAGAUACCCCGGUAGUCCACGCCGUAAACGAUGGAUACUA